AACGCACCUUGCACCCUUUGGUAUUCCGAAGGGUAUGCCUGUCUGAGUGUCAUUAGACCUUCUCUCUGGCGGUUUCUUGACCGUCAUUGAGCUUUGGGAUCGCCUCUGGCCUUCCUUAAAUGCCUUAGUGUGACGAAACAUCAGUUGUCUCCGUCUGCACUCUAAACCGCAGCAAUGCACUCUUGAUUUGACCUCAGAUCAGGUAGGACUACCCGCUGAACUUAA
Molecule: unclassified non-coding RNA, 225 nt
Filed under: uncultured fungus
Lineage: Eukaryota; Fungi
Also listed under: 1 other name
Description: partial contains 5.8S ribosomal RNA, internal transcribed spacer 2, and large subunit ribosomal RNA
Rfam family: 5.8S ribosomal RNA (bases 1-52)
Source: RNAcentral